GGGCCCGCACAAGCGGUGGAGCAUGUGGUUUAAUUCGAUGCAACGCGAAGAACCUUACCAGGGCUUGACAUCCUGCGAAUCUCUGGGAAACCGGAGAGUGCCUUCGGGAACGCAGUGACAGGUGGUGCAUGGCUGUCGUCAGCUCGUGUCGUGAGAUGUUGGUUAAGUCCCGCAACGAGCGCAACCCACGUCUUUAGUUGCCAGCAUUUAGUUGGGCACUCUAGAGAGACUGCCGGUGAUAAACCGGAGGAAGGUGUGGAUGACGUCAAGUCAUCAUGCCCCUUACAUCCUGGGCUACACACGUACUACAAUGCUACGGACAAAGGGCAGCAAGUUCGCGAGGAC
Molecule: ribosomal RNA, 345 nt
Filed under: uncultured bacterium
Lineage: Bacteria
Description: bacterial SSU rRNA
Rfam family: Bacterial small subunit ribosomal RNA
Source: RNAcentral